GAUGAACGCUGGCGGCGUGCCUAAUACAUGCAAGUCGAGCGAACAGACCAGGAGCUUGCUCCUCUGACUUUAUCGGCGGACGGGUGAGUAACACGUGGAUAACCUACCUAUAAGACUGGGAUAACUUCGGGAAACCGUAGCUAAUACCGGAUAAUAUAUUGAACCUCAUUGUUCACUAGUUAAAGUCGGUUUUUCUGUCACUUAUAGAUUGAUCCGGGCCGCAUUAGCUAGUUGGUAAGGUAACGGCUUACCAAGGCAACGAUGCGUAGCCGACCUGAAGGGGUGGACCGACAGACUGGAAGAGAGAAAGGGCCGAGACACCGACGGGAAGAAACAGUACGGAAUCUUACGGGAUGGGGGAGAGGGUGAUGUAGGAAAGUGGCGGGAGGGAUGAAGGAGUUAGGAUGCGUAAACGAUGUAAGUAGGAGAGUAGUAAUGUGUAAGUAACUAGGAAGGUAAUGACAGUACCGGAUGAAAAAGCUACGGCUAACUCCGUG
RNAcentral lists this ribosomal RNA (497 nucleotides) under uncultured bacterium. RNAcentral's name for it is "partial 16S ribosomal RNA". It matches the Rfam family "Bacterial small subunit ribosomal RNA", at positions 28 to 507 of the family's 1533-position model. The record is from RNAcentral.